GACGAACGCUGGCGGCGUGCCUAAUACAUGCAAGUCGAGCGGAUCUUUAGGAGCUUGCUCCUAAAGAUUAGCGGCGGACGGGUGAGUAACACGUGGGCAACCUGCCUGUAAGACUGGGAUAACUUCGGGAAACCGGAGCUAAUACCGGAUAACUUCUUCCCCCGCAUGGGGAAAGGUUGAAAGACGGUUAUGCUGUCACUUACAGAUGGGCCCGCGGCGCAUUAGCUAGUUGGUGAGGUAACGGCUCACCAAGGCAACGAUGCGUAGCCGACCUGAGAGGGUGAUCGGCCACACUGGGACUGAGACACGGCCCAGACUCCUACGGGAGGCAGCAGUAGGGAAUCUUCCGCAAUGGACGAAAGUCUGACGGAGCAACGCCGCGUGAGUGAAGAAGGUCUUCGGAUCGUAAAACUCUGUUAUCAGGGAAGAACAAGUACCGUGUAACUAACGGUACCGUGACGGUACCUGACCAGAAAGCCACGGCUAACUACGU
RNAcentral lists this ribosomal RNA (493 nucleotides) under Empedobacter sp. 'ARUP UnID 300'. Its description in RNAcentral is "bacterial SSU rRNA". It matches the Rfam family "Bacterial small subunit ribosomal RNA", at positions 28 to 506 of the family's 1533-position model. Lineage: Bacteria; Pseudomonadati; Bacteroidota; Flavobacteriia; Flavobacteriales; Weeksellaceae. The record is from RNAcentral.